RNAcentral lists this ribosomal RNA (1143 nucleotides) under uncultured organism. RNAcentral's name for it is "bacterial SSU rRNA". It matches the Rfam family "Bacterial small subunit ribosomal RNA", at positions 253 to 1426 of the family's 1533-position model. The record is from RNAcentral.
UAGGGUAACGGCCUACCAAGGCGAAGACGGGUAGGGGGCGUGAGAGCGUGACCCCCCACACUGGCACUGGGACACGGGCCAGACUCCUACGGGAGGCAGCAGUGAGGAAUAUUGCGCAAUGAGCGAAAGCUAGACGCAGCAACGCCGCGUGGGUGAUGAAGGCCUUCGGGUCGUAAAACCCUUUUCUGGGGGAAGAGUAAGGACGGUACCCCAGGAAUAAGCCUCGGCUAACUAUGUGCCAGCAGCCGCGGUAAUACAUAGGAGGCAAGCGUUAUCCGGAUUUACUGGGCGUAAAGAGCGUUGAGGCGGCUUCGUAAGUUGGACGUGAAAGCUCCCGGCUUAACUGGGAGAGGCCGUUCAAUACUGCGGGGCUUGAGGACAGCAGAGGGGGGUGGAAUUUCCGGUGUAGUGGUGAAAUGCGUAGAUAUCGGAAGGAACACCAGUGGCGAAGGCGGCCCCCUGGGCUGCUCCUGACGCUGAAGGCGAAAGCUAGGGUAGCGAACGGGAUUAGAAACCCCGGUAGUCCUAGCCGUAAACGAUGGAUACUAGGUGUAGGAGGUUAAAACUCCUUCUGUGCCGGAGCUAACGCGUUAAGUAUCCCGCCUGGGGAGUACGGUCGCAAGGCUAAAACUCAAAGGAAUUGACGGGGGCCCGCACAAGCAGCGGAGCGUGUGGUUUAAUUCGAUGCAACGCGAAGAACCUUACCAGGGCUUGACAUGUAGGUAGUAGUGAAGCGAAAGCGGAACGAUCCUUCGGGAAGCCUACACAGGUGCUGCAUGGCUGUCGUCAGCUCGUGCCGUGAGGUGUUAGGUUAAGUCCUGUAACGAGCGCAACCCCUGCCGUUAGUUACAAGUGUCUAACGGGACUGCCCGGCAAAACUGGGAGGAAGGUGGGGAUGACGUCAAGUCAGCAUGGCCUUUAUGUCCUGGGCUACACACACGCUACAAUGGCCGGUACAAUGGGUUGCCAAGCCGCGAGGCGGAGCCAAUCCUCUAAAGCCGGUCUCAGUUCGAAUUGUAGGCUGCAACCCGCCUGCAUGAAGUUGGAGUUGCUAGUAACCGCAGGUCAGCCACACUGCGGUGAAUACGUUCCCGGGCCUGUACACACCGCCCGUCACGUCAUGGAAGCUGGUAACACCUGAAG